UAAAUGUAAAGACUCAGUCGGGGAUAAAAAGGGAAAAUCUGCAGGGGAAAUAGGUAAAUUAGAACAAAACUGAAAUACUCAAUCCAAACAGGGGACGACGAUUCACUGAGGAAAUACACACUAAAACUCAACUGGGGAAGAAAUGAACUUCAACACAGGGGUAUCAUAAGUAUAUUAUCUACUACCGGUUACUGGGUAAGGAGAUAACAUAAUCUGGAAGAGAGGACAUCCGUUACCGGUAGGGUAACAUAUCAAGGAUGACUC
This 264-nucleotide long non-coding RNA is filed under the name Lathyrus oleraceus (garden pea). Its description in RNAcentral is "Pisum sativum (pea) long non-coding RNA (PSAT_LNC037319)". Lineage: Eukaryota; Viridiplantae; Streptophyta; Magnoliopsida; Fabales; Fabaceae. The record is from RNAcentral.